This 227-nucleotide unclassified non-coding RNA is filed under the name uncultured fungus. RNAcentral's name for it is "sequence contains ITS1, 5.8S rRNA gene". The stretch from base 179 to 227 matches the Rfam family "5.8S ribosomal RNA", at positions 1 to 49 of the family's 154-position model. The record is from RNAcentral. Lineage: Eukaryota; Fungi.
UCUCCGUUGGUGAACCAGCGGAGGGAUCAUUACAGAGUCGUAAAACACUCCCAAACCCAUGUGAACUUACCAUUCUGUUGCCUCGGCGGGCCUCUGGGAUUCGUCCCAUGUCCGCCGGCGGCCCCUAUAAACUCUGUUACUUAUAAGCAAUCUGAGCGUUUUCCAAAAAUAAAGUUAAAACUUUCAACAACGGAUCUCUUGGUUCUGGCAUCGAUGAAGAACGCAGC